GACGAACGCUGGCGGCGUGCUUAACACAUGCAAGUCGAACGGAAAAGCCCUGCUUUUUUGUGGUUCUCGCGUGGCGCACGGGUGUGUAACACGUGAGUCACCUUCCCUUUACUUUGUGAUUACUUCAGGAAACUGGGGCUAAUACCUGCUUGGAGCUCCUGCUGCUUGGGGGGGGUUGGAAAGCUUUGGCGGUUGGGGAUGGACUCCCGGUUUAUUAGCUUGUUGGUGGGGUAGUGGCCUACCAAGCCUUCGACGGGUAGUCGGCCUGAGAGGGGGACCGGCCACAUGGGGACUGAGAUACGGCCCAGACUCCUACGGGAGGCAGCAGUGGGGAAUAUUGCACAAUGGGCGGAAGCCUGAUGCAGAAACGCCGCGUGCGGGAUGAAGGCCUUCGGGUUGUAAACCGCUUUCGCCUGUGACGAAGCGUGAGUGACGGUAAUGGGUAAAGAAGCACCGGCUAACUACGUG
This 468-nucleotide ribosomal RNA is filed under the name uncultured bacterium. RNAcentral's name for it is "partial 16S ribosomal RNA". It matches the Rfam family "Bacterial small subunit ribosomal RNA", at positions 28 to 507 of the family's 1533-position model. The record is from RNAcentral.